AUGUUUCCCAGAGCCUGANAAUGGUAUUCUGGGAGACCUCUUGUCCAUCCNCACUUUGUGAAUUGUUUAUUGUCUCUGGCAUACGCGGCACUGUAAANUCCUUAUGGAGGGUGGUGCCCUUUGAGUCGAUGAUUUUAAGGAGCCGCGAAAGUGGGCUCCCUCGAGUCACUAGGCUUGAAGAACCUCUUGUGCCCAACUUGCCAAAUGGGUUUUUCAACCCAUGACACUGUUAACUCUUAUGCUUAACCACUCUGUCUGAACCAUACAAAUUCUUAAUAAGAAACAACUUUUGACAACGGAUCUCUUGGCUCUCGCAACGAUGAAGAACGCAGCGAAAUGCGAUACGUAAUGUGAAUUGCAGAAUUCCGUGAAUCAUCGAAUCUUUGAACGCAUAUUGCGACCUUCUGGUAUUCCAGGAGGUAUGCCUGUUUGAGAAUCGUGACUACCCUCACAUCCCCUAUUUUGGGGUGUGGACUUGAGUUUUCCCACGGUCAAAUCUCCUUAACAAAGAGAUGCGAUGGCAUGGGUGACUUUAAAAUAUAGGUAAGCCUUGAACCAAAACACCUGCUUAAACCGGUGAAAAGGCGUGAUAAAACG
Molecule: ribosomal RNA, 597 nt
Filed under: fungal sp. mh2364.1
Lineage: Eukaryota; Fungi
Description: eukaryotic LSU rRNA
Rfam family: 5.8S ribosomal RNA (bases 285-439)
Source: RNAcentral